UGAAAAGUUAUCAUGUAUACCAUAAAACUUGGAUACAGACCAGGAAAGCAUAAACUUGGUAUUAAAGAAGCAAAUGUGUAUCACUGGAGGAAUAACCAAAAUAUCUUAUUUUCUUGUAAAGGAAUAAUGGAGUGCUUCAUGGUACUGAAGGAAGCAAGAGCUCUGCAAAUAGAGGAAAGUGUCUUACAUUGGUUACUGAGAUGUUCAAAAGGGUUGCCUAUUACAUGCCAAAGAAAGCAACUGAAAGCAGGAGAAAUUGCCAAAUCCCUCAGAAUAAAUGAAAGAAAUGUCCAAGCAACAGAGGAUGAUGUGGCCUGGCCUGGGCUAUCAUUAAGUGGAAAGAUGUGAAGCAUACCUCUUAUGUGGAAUUCUCAGCCCAGUGAUCUGAAAAGUCAAAAGAGGGAAGCACGACUAGGUAAGGGGUAAAUGCUGGCAUUGUCUGGAGUGAAUGAGGGCAAAGCAAAUUUCACUGGCAGAACAAAACUUCAAAGUGAUUUUUAAAAAACAUUUGUAAGUACAAGCUAACAUGUUUUUAUCAAGAGAUCAAUGUACAACUAACAAGCCAAUACUUCCCUGCCAUAGAUGAAGAGACUCAUAGCCCAGGUGAUGACAAUUGCCAGGUGUUGGUUCCUAGUCUCAUAUUUAGUUCACUGAGCCAUAUGCUGUCCCAUUACCAGAGUUUCAUCAGCACUUGAGAGUUUCUCACAGUGAGAUCAAGAAAACUAGAGACACAAAAGAGUAUAACCCACCUGAGUCUACACUGUCUACUUAAAAGCUGUUAAAAUUAACAGAUCUAAACAGAUCCAUUCCAAGACAUGCUUUGGGAAGACCUUGAGGAGUUAGAAGGAAGGCUGAGAGAAGAAGAAAGAAGGAUGCCUUGAGCUCAGAAAUUCUUAAAUGAACAUUUCAUUUUAAAGCUAUGAGUCAGACUCUAAAUUAUAUUAGUGUUUAAUAGCAACUAACUUAGAAGAAAAGCUUCAACAGUCUCAUCCCAACUAUUGGGUUUAUCUGAAUAAGAAUAUCAAUCUGUAUGUUACUAUGGUCACUAAAUGAGUAACAAGGAAAAUAACCCAAAAGUACUCAGUCUCUUGCCAGCUAGCCCAUAAACGAUAGUGAAAUAUGACAUACAGGCUAGUAUUUGCUAACCAUCACAGCUAUAAAUAAUGAAUGGAAUCAACCAAAAAGUAAACAAACCCAAAACACUGUAUGGUUGGCUACAAAUGCAGUCAUGAUUCAUACAGUCUUGACAUUAUGUUCCCUAAAAACAUUUUCUUUAAAAUACUUUUUUAAAAAUAUGCCAAUUAAGUAUAACUAUUUACAAGAAUUUUUGUGUAAAGGAUUAAUGAUAUGCUAAGUGUUAGUUAAUUAUCUGUCAGUCUUACUGUUUUGUCCCAAAGCACCUCCCAAAUAUCAAAACAACACCCUUACUGUGUGAAUGAGCUAGGCUUGGUUGAGGCUGGGCAACAGGCCUGGUGGCAGCACAUGUAGCUAUUUAUCGGUUUUGCUCUAUGUGUAAUGUCUGAAUGCCAACAGACACACUCAGCUCUUCUAGACAUCUGGUGUUUAAGUAUGUGGUUACAAAUGGUUGGUAUUUUUAAUAUAAAAGAGAGUAAAAGGAACCUGGAACAAGGUAGUAAUUACUAAUCUAAUAACAGUAUUAUGUGUGAAAGUAUAUGGUUAUUACUUGGAUGCUAGAAAUGGAAACAAGACUUACCAUUACCUGGCUGGGAUGUAAGUCCGUCUUCUUUCUCAAUUUUUGGUGUUUCUUCCUUGCUGUCAGCCAACUGGCCAGGUUCUGACUGUGCAAGGGCUUGUUUUUCACAGUCUGAGAUAGUUUGAACCUUUUUGGAGGUGUCUUUCUGAGAAUCAUCCUUCUCGUUUUUAUCCUGGAUAUGGUUGAGGCUAUCUAUUUGCAUAACUAUUAAAAUAAAAAUUAUUACAAAAAUGUAAUAAUUUACAUUUAAAAGUAAAGUAAAAAGAAUGUAACAGUUAGGUCUUAUAAAAAGAAAGUGAAUAAUGUUUAUUCAUAUGUUCAAAACAUUUAUCAGGAGCAUACUAUAUACCCAGUACUAUUCUAGAUGCUGAAGAGACAGCAGGAACAGGACAGAGAAAUCCCUGCAUUCUAGACUCCAUUCUAAAUGGCAGAGAAAGACAAUAAAAUUAACAAAUAGGUAAAUAGUAUAUUUUCAGAUAAAGAGAACACAACUAAGUUUUGUUUUUUUUUUUUUUUCAGUAAGAAGGUUUUGGAGAGCACUACUAUAGCAAAAGUCAUGAGGACCAAGCUCUGAGAGGAGUCCCAUUUGAGCUGAGAGCUGUUCAUGGCUCUAGGAAGCUUGGACUCGGGCCUAUAUUCUUGGUCUAAAUAUUCUAAAUGUAACUGGAAGCCAUUAAAGAGUUUUAGGCAAAGAAA
Long non-coding RNA from Homo sapiens (human), 2410 nucleotides. RefSeq lists it as uncharacterized. NCBI's taxonomy places the organism in Eukaryota, Metazoa, Chordata, Mammalia, Primates, Hominidae. The transcript has 2 exons. The record is from RefSeq and is a predicted model, not a curated record.